Molecule: ribosomal RNA, 853 nt
Filed under: Diaporthe diospyricola
Lineage: Eukaryota; Fungi; Ascomycota; Sordariomycetes; Diaporthales; Diaporthaceae
Description: eukaryotic LSU rRNA
Rfam family: Eukaryotic large subunit ribosomal RNA
Source: RNAcentral
GCCCUAGUAACGGCGAGUGAAGCGGCAACAGCUCAAAUUUGAAAUCUGGCCUCGGCCCGAGUUGUAAUUUGCAGAGGAUGCUUCUGGCGCGGUGCCUUCCGAGUUCCCUGGAACGGGACGCCACAGAGGGUGAGAGCCCCGUAUGGUCGGACACCAAGCCUGUGUGAAGCUCCUUCGACGAGUCGAGUAGUUUGGGAAUGCUGCUCUAAAUGGGAGGUAAAUCUCUUCUAAAGCUAAAUACCGGCCAGAGACCGAUAGCGCACAAGUAGAGUGAUCGAAAGAUGAAAAGCACCUUGAAAAGGGGGUUAAAUAGUACGUGAAAUUGUUGAAAGGGAAGCACUUAUGACCAGACUUGGGCCGGGCGGCUCAUCAGGGGUUCUCCCCUGUGCACUCCGCCCGGCACAGGCCAGCAUCGGUUCUCGUGGGGGGAUAAGACCGACAGGAACGUAGCACCCUCCGGGGUGUGUUAUAGCCUGGCGGACGAUACCCCCGUGGGGACCGAGGUCCGCGCUCCGCAAGGAUGCUGGCGUAAUGGUCAUCAGUGACCCGUCUUGAAACACGGACCAAGGAGUCGUCCAUUAGAGCGAGCGUUUGGGUGUAAAACCCGCACGCGUAAUGAAAGUGAACGCAGGUGAGAGCUUCGGCGCAUCAUCGACCGAUCCUGAUGUUCUCGGAAGGAUUUGAGUAAGAGUUUUAACGGACGGACCCGAAAGACAGUGAACUAUGCUUGAAUAGGGUGAAGCCAGAGGAAACUCUGGUGGAGGCUCGCAGCGGUUCUGACGUGCAAAUCGAUCGUCAAAUAUGAGCAUGGGGGCGAAAGACUAAUCGAACUGUCUAGUAGCUGGUUACCGCC